Molecule: long non-coding RNA, 603 nt
Filed under: Homo sapiens (human)
Lineage: Eukaryota; Metazoa; Chordata; Mammalia; Primates; Hominidae
Description: non-protein coding lnc-DDX23-1:4
Source: RNAcentral
AAAGAUGGCGACGGCUCCGCGACGUUGAGGCCGCGUUGGGCGGUUCAGACUCAGGGUGAUGGCAGGAGAGCUGGCUGACAAAAAGGACCGUGAUGCAUCACCUUCCAAGGAGGAAAGGAAGCGAUCACGGACUCCUGACAGAGAGCGGGAUAGAGACCGGGACCGGAAGUCUUCCCCAUCUAAAGAUAGAAAGCGGCAUCGUUCAAGGGAUAGACGUCGAGGAGGCAGCCGUUCUCGCUCUCGUUCCCGUUCCAAAUCUGCAGAAAGAGAACGACGGCACAAAGAACGAGAACGAGAUAAGGAGCGGGAUCGGAAUAAGAAGGACCGAGAUCGAGACAAGGAUGGGCACAGACGGGACAAGGACCGUAAACGAUCCAGCUUAUCUCCUGGUCGAGGAAAAGACUUUAAAUCUCGGAAGGACAGAGACUCUAAGAAGGAUGAAGAGGAUGAACAUGGUGAUAAGAAGCCUAAGGCCCAGCCAUUAUCCCUGGAGGAGCUUCUGGCCAAGAAAAAGGCUGAGGAAGAAGCUGAGGCUAAGAGUCUCACUCUGUCGCCCAGGAUGGAGUACAGUGGCAUGAUAUCGGCUCACUUCAACCUCCACCU